CUUCACAAUGUGCGAAAGCACGAUGAGGGGAUCCCAAGUGCUGGCACGUAAGUGUCAGCUGUUUCUUUGUCUAAAAAACAAAGAGAGUAAGAGCUGGGUAAGACGGGUGCCAGCCGCCGCGGUAAUACCUGCAGCUCAAGUGGUGGUCGCUAUUAUUGGGCCUAAAACGUCCGUAGCCGGUUUAGUAAAUGCUUGGGUAAAUUGUGUAGCUUAACUAUACGAAUACCGGGUAGACUGCUAAACUUGGGACCGGGAGAGGCUAGAGGUACUCCUAGGGUAGAGGUGAAAUUCUGUAAUCCUAGGGGGACCACCAGUGGCGAAGGCGUCUAGCUAGAACGGGUCUGACGGUGAGGGACGAAGCCCUGGGGCGCGAACCGGAUUAGAUACCCGGGUAGUCCAGGGUGUAAACGCUGCUUGCUUGAUGUUAGUUGGGCUCCGAGCCCAACUAGUGUCGGAGAGAAGUUGUUAAGCAAGCUGCCUGGGAAGUACCGGUCGCAAGACUGAAACUUAA
RNAcentral lists this ribosomal RNA (511 nucleotides) under uncultured archaeon 63-A4. RNAcentral describes it as "bacterial SSU rRNA". It matches the Rfam family "Archaeal small subunit ribosomal RNA", at positions 348 to 859 of the family's 1478-position model. The record is from RNAcentral.